CUGUAUUUGCCUGCACCCGCUUAGAUAUAAACCAGCGGGUGCCAAGCAACUCUGUUUCUCCCCGGGCUUACUUCCGCCCGGCGGUCUGGGACCGCGAGGAUUCCCUUUACUCGCGGCCAUUGCUAGGUGGUCGGAGCUAAUCACCUUCGGCGCGCUUCUCUCCUCUGAAGCGCGGGAAUUAUGAACGGCUCCUAGCUUUGACCCUGCUGUCCUCCGUACGCAAGUUUGUAUAUCUUUACUCCUAUCUGUUACUUUUGUUGGGGUUAAUCAAUCCCUAAAAAGCUCUCACUGUUAACCCUGAGAGCUCUGGACUCCCUUUCC
This is a non-coding RNA of Pelobates cultripes (western spadefoot toad), 321 nucleotides long. The record is from the annotation of a GenBank genome assembly. NCBI's taxonomy places the organism in Eukaryota, Metazoa, Chordata, Amphibia, Anura, Pelobatidae.